GGGUACGGCUCAGUGGUAGAGCGCAUGCUUUGCAUGCACAACAUCCUGGGUUCAAUCCCCAGUACCUCCA
RNAcentral lists this transfer RNA (70 nucleotides) under Camelus bactrianus (Bactrian camel). It matches the Rfam family "tRNA". From Rfam's summary of the family: Transfer RNA (tRNA) molecules are approximately 80 nucleotides in length. Their secondary structure includes four short double-helical elements and three loops (D, anti-codon, and T loops). Further hydrogen bonds mediate the characteristic L-shaped molecular structure. tRNAs have two regions of fundamental functional importance: the anti-codon, which is responsible for specific mRNA codon recognition, and the 3' end, to which the tRNAs corresponding amino acid is attached (by aminoacyl-tRNA synthetases). tRNAs cope with the degeneracy of the genetic code in two manners: having more than one tRNA (with a specific anti-codon) for a particular amino acid; and 'wobble' base-pairing, i.e. permitting non-standard base-pairing at the 3rd anti-codon position. Lineage: Eukaryota; Metazoa; Chordata; Mammalia; Artiodactyla; Camelidae. The record is from Rfam by way of RNAcentral. RNAcentral also lists the same sequence under 2 other names.